AUGAGCUAUUUUUUCGAACUGGGAUACGGCCUAGGGUUGUUCAUUAUCAUUUUCAUCUGUGUGGGUAUCGUCGGUUGCUGUGUAGCUCUCUGCUGCUGCUGUUGCAAGAAAAGAAACCCGCAAAGGCACCAAAAUGUGACUACAGUAGUGUACACACAUCCGUCUUCUUCCCAAAUACCCGUUUCUGGGCCUCAGCCACAGUACCCAGCUUACCAGCCAGUACCUCAGCAAGCACACGGCGUACCUUACAUGACAGCACCUCCACCAUCAUACCAGGAAGCUACUGAUCCAGCUCUCUUGCCACACAACCCAGGGAUGAUGUUCCUCCACCCCAGUCAGCCUUCUGGGCACUCAGACGUGCACACACAGUUGCCCUACAAUCCUGCUUUUUACCCAAACACAGCCUCAUUUAACCAACCUGUCAAUAAGUACUGAGUACCACUAGAUGGCGCCACCGUGUUAUGCAUUCCAUUGCAUUCCGCCACCUUCUUAUGCAUUCCAAACAGUCACAAAAGGGUCAAACCUGCUGAUGGUGCUGUAGCUGUGAAGAAAAAUGCCCUCAUAAAUAAUGUUUUGUUUACGUAUUGCUUGCAAUCAAUCGAUAUAGGAUUGAUUUACACAAUUGUUGGUCAAUCCACACACAAAGCUUAAGAAAUGAAACUAUUGCCGUGGCCUUGAUUAUUGAUACUGUUAAACAUCACUAUUUAAGGUCAGUAAAGGUCAGGUCAGUAUAGAACAGCUUUUAUGCACUGUGUAAAAAAUAUUAUUGAUGUCUGUCUGCCUGUGCUAAAGUGAGUUAUGAUAUGGAGAUUUGUAGUUUGGUAUGAUUGUGUCAAUUAUGGCUAAAACAUGUACCGUAUUCUGUAUGUCUGCAGCAUGGGAGGUGGGGCUUGAUGGAAAUUCUCAUAUCAUGAAGGAUCAAAAGCCAAAUACUUUUCUACUGUUUUUUAAUAGGUUUGUAAAACACAAGCAUUAUGUCUUAAAUAGUUCCCAUAAUGCAAUAAAAAUGUUAUUCCCUGCAGUGGGAUGAAACUGCAGUGUUCUGUUCCCGUUCUUCCUUUGGGAUCAUGUGUGGUUGAAUAGCUUUAGUGGGUGUGCUUGCAUUUAAUCCCAUAAUGUCCAGGGCCACUCCCUCUUAUUGCAUCCCCCGCUGUCCAUUAAUCAAUACAGUAUUAGUGCUGACCCCACAAAAUUCCUUUUCCUCUUUCUUUUUUUUUGCCUUUCCUCCUGCUGUCUGGUCAAUGUAAACACAAAGACAGGGCGGUGCUCCUGUGUAUCAGAAAUUAACAUUUUGAUCUGGUUUUAGAUGAUUUAUUCAGGGCUCUUGAGUGAACCAGUGAGCGCUGCGUGGGAGCAGCUGCUGACAAAAGUCAAAACUCCCCAGUGAAUGCCGUUGCCCACAGCCAAGAUGCUCCAAAGAGAUACGUGCCAAACUCCCACACAUACUUGAAAAGACAAACACAUUUGUCACAAUAUUGAGUGUAUAUUUUGAUACAAUAAAAAACAACAACAAUUGGUUCCUUUGACAAAGAAAGUUUCAGCUAAAAAAAAGAGUCAAAAAUACUGAGCUUUGGUUUGUGCAAAUGAAUAAAGUCAGAGUGCCACUCAUGCUUGUCCUCUAAGCAGGUAAUUAAGGUCAUUCCACAGUUUAAACCUGUUAAAGGAGUUUCUGUUCAUUUCUCAUGACAACUAAACCAAUAUUUUACAUGGGCAGAUUUGUCUUUGCAAAAAUAUGCUUAAAUAUUACAUUAAAUAGCACCAGUUUUAAAAUAUGCAUUCAGUAUUUUGUGAAAUUUCUAAUGAGUUAAUUAAAAAAAACAACUUUUUGGUCAUUUUUUGUUUAAUAGACACAUUUUAUUUAUUUAUUUACAAUGGCCUGAUUAUUUGUCAGAAUUCCAUUAGAUUUCUAUUUAGUUUAUUUGAGAUUGUGUCCACUAACUAGAACUGUCUUUGAGAAAAUAAGUUUUUCCUUGUUUGUAACACUAUUAUAUCUGUAUCAGUCUUUUUCUGUUGGCAUAUUUGGAUUAGUUUAAGUUUGAAAGUUAUGUCUUAAUAUAAAGUGUGAACAGUGAGAACUUCUCUUUCAAUUACAUUUCUCUAACCUGACUGAGCUAUUACAUCAGCUGUGUGUUUUGACGAAUAUUCACGUUUAUUAUCUAUAAAUCUUAGUUUAAAAAAAUAAAAAUAAUCGGACGUCAUCCUUAAACGCGUCCAUCUAGGAACCGUUACUAAUUACCCGGUACAUUUACAGGUUGACCCGCAAAAGCGAUUCAGUCAGUUUUGGUAUAUAUUACUUUAUUAAAGAUUAAG
Molecule: long non-coding RNA, 2310 nt
Filed under: Takifugu rubripes (torafugu)
Lineage: Eukaryota; Metazoa; Chordata; Actinopteri; Tetraodontiformes; Tetraodontidae
Description: lncRNA (ENSTRUG00000032229.1)
Source: RNAcentral